UGGAGGAGUAGCGAAGAGGCUAAACGCGGCGGACUGUAAAUCCGCUCCUUCGGGUUCAAAGGUUCGAAUCCUUUCUCCUCCAU
Molecule: transfer RNA, 83 nt
Filed under: Schleiferilactobacillus harbinensis
Lineage: Bacteria; Bacillati; Bacillota; Bacilli; Lactobacillales; Lactobacillaceae
Description: tRNA-Tyr
Rfam family: tRNA
About the family: Transfer RNA (tRNA) molecules are approximately 80 nucleotides in length. Their secondary structure includes four short double-helical elements and three loops (D, anti-codon, and T loops).
Source: RNAcentral